GAUGAACGCUGACAGAAUGCUUAACACAUGCAAGUCUUUGGCGAAGCUGUGCUUGCACAGCCUAGCCAAGGCGGACGGGUGAGUAACGCGUAAGGAACUUGCCCUGCAGUCAGGGAUAACAGACGGAAACGACUGAUAAGACCUGGUAAAGUCAGGCGGACUCAUGUCCAGCCUGAUGAAAGGAGAUGCUGCAGGAGAGCCUUGCGUCCUAUUAGCUUGUUGGUGGGGUAACGGCCCACCAAGGCGAUGAUAGGUAGCCGGCCUGAGAGGGUGGACGGCCAACAGGGGAAUGGGAUACGGCCCUUAAUCCCUAGGGAGGGAGGAGGGGGGAAUAAUGGAACAAUGGGGCAACCCUGAUCCAGCAAUUCUGUGUGCACGAUGAAGGUUUUCGGAGUGUAAAGUGCUUUCAGCAGGGAAGAAAAAAAUGACGGUACCUGCAGAAGAAGCGACGGCUAAAUACGUG
This 463-nucleotide ribosomal RNA is filed under the name uncultured bacterium. RNAcentral's name for it is "partial 16S ribosomal RNA". It matches the Rfam family "Bacterial small subunit ribosomal RNA", at positions 28 to 507 of the family's 1533-position model. The record is from RNAcentral.